This 1437-nucleotide ribosomal RNA is filed under the name uncultured bacterium. RNAcentral describes it as "bacterial SSU rRNA". It matches the Rfam family "Bacterial small subunit ribosomal RNA". The record is from RNAcentral.
AGAGUUUGAUCCUGGCUCAGGAUGAACGCUAGCGGCAGGCUUAAUACAUGCAAGUCGAGGGGCAGCACGGGUAGCAAUACCUGGUGGCGACCGGCGCACGGGCGUAACGCGUAUGCAACCUGCCUUAUACCGGGGAAUAGCCCAUGGAAACGUGGAUUAAAGUCCCAUAGAAUCAAGAUAUCGCAUGGUAUUAUGAUUAAAACUGAGGUGGUAUAAGAUGGGCAUGCGUCUGAUUAGGUAGUUGGUGAGGUAACGGCUCACCAAGCCGACGAUCAGUAGGGGUUCUGAGAGGAUUACCCCCCACACUGGUACUGAGACACGGACCAGACUCCUACGGGAGGCAGCAGUGAGGAAUAUUGGUCAAUGGCCGGAAGGCUGAACCAGCCAUCCCGCGUGCAGGAUGACGGCCCUAUGGGUUGUAAACUGCUUUUGUACGGGAAGAAUAGGCCCACGUGUNNNNNNNNNNNNNNGUUGGAGGAAGCCACGGCUAACUACGUGCCAGCAGCCGCGGUAAUACGUAGGUGGCAAGCGUUGUCCGGAAUUAUUGGGCGUAAAGGGUGCGUAGGCGGCUUUUUAAGUCAGUGGUGAAAUCCUGCCGCUUAACGGUAAAAUUGCCAUUGAUACUGAAGAGCUUGAGUACAGUUGAGGUAGGCGGAAUGUGUAGUGUAGCGGUGAAAUGCUUAGAUAUUACACAGAACACCAAUUGCGAAGGCAGCUUACUAAACUGUGACUGACGCUGAUGCACGAAAGCGUGGGGAGCGAACAGGAUUAGAUACCCUGGUAGUCCACGCCGUAAACGAUGCUCACUCGCUGUUUGCGAUACACAGCAAGCGGCCAAGCGAAAGCAUUAAGUGAGCCACCUGGGGAGUACGAUCGCAAGGUUGAAACUCAAAGGAAUUGACGGGGGCCCGCACAAGCGGAGGAACAUGUGGUUUAAUUCGAUGAUACGCGAGGACCUUACCUGGGCUUAAAUGUAGAGCGACAGAUUGUGAAAGCAGUCCUUCUUCGGACGAUCUACAAGGUGCUGCAUGGUUGUCGUCAGCUCGUGCCGUGAGGUGUCGGGUUAAGUCCCAUAACGAGCGCAACCCUUGUCGUUAGUUACCAUCAAGUAAUGUUGGGGACUCUAAAGGAACUGCCACCGUAAGGUGAGAGGAAGGUGGGGAUGACGUCAAAUCAGCACGGCCCUUAUGUCCAGGGCUACACACGUGUUACAAUGGCCGAUACAAAGGGCAGCUACUCCGCGAGGAGAUGCUAAUCUCUAAAGUCGGUCCCAGUUCGGAUUGGAGUCUGCAACCCGACUCCAUGAAGUUGGAUUCGCUAGUAAUCGCGCAUCAGCCAUGGCGCGGUGAAUACGUUCCCGGGCCUUGUACACACCGCCCGUCAAACCAUGGGAGCUGGGGGUGCCUGAAGCAGGCCACCGCAAGGAGCGGCCUAGGG